Molecule: ribosomal RNA, 253 nt
Filed under: uncultured bacterium
Lineage: Bacteria
Description: partial 16S ribosomal RNA
Rfam family: Bacterial small subunit ribosomal RNA
Source: RNAcentral
UACAGAGGGUGCGAGCGUUGUCCGGAAUUACUGGGCGUAAAGGGCGCGUAGGCGGCUUGGUCAGUCCCGUGUGAAAUCCCUCGGCUCAACUGAGGAACUGCACGGGAAACUGCCUGGCUUGAGUUCGGGAGAGGGAAGCGGAAUUCCGGGUGUAGCGGUGAAAUGCGUAGAUAUCCGGAGGAACACCGGUGGCGAAGGCGGCUUCCUGGACCGACACUGACGCUGAGGCGCGAAAGCUAGGGGAGCAAACGGG